This 1913-nucleotide long non-coding RNA is filed under the name Homo sapiens (human). RNAcentral's name for it is "HSALNT0110807". Lineage: Eukaryota; Metazoa; Chordata; Mammalia; Primates; Hominidae. The record is from RNAcentral.
CUCGGGUCCCCAGCCAUCGGCGCUCUCCCGGGGCCCUCUGACCUCGCUCCUUAAAGGAGGAGGGUCCGUGGCAACGGUCCUCCUCGGCCAGGCGCUCUCGGGACGCGGGGGUGAGGAGUGAGCGCCGUGGCCCACCCUACUCUCCGAGCGGGGACGGAGUGGGCGACACCGCGCGCCCGGCUGCACGCAGGCUCUGCGCGGCUCGAGGCGGCCCUACAGGGGGCGAGGAGGAACCCCGGAGACUCGGCGGAGAGAGCAGAGACGGAGCUCACCAAGGGGCUUGCCGCCGCAGAGCGCGGGAGCCGGCACUCGGGGUACUUAACCGAAACUAGCAAUCCCAGGCGGUACAAGGCCCUCCAUCGUAGGCAAAGCACUACCUGAAUGUAGAUUUGGGCCAUACGUUGGAAAAUAAGACAUGAGAGUAUGCUCCGAUCAACUUUUACUGUUCACUGGACAACUAUUUUGGGAAUUUGCAGACCUAUAAAGCCCAUCUAUAAAUCUCAAGCAUGUCCACUUUCAGAGAAGAGAAAUGCUGACAACCAUUUAGUCUCUGAGGACAACACUUUUAAAGGACUCCAUCAUAGGACUGGAGAGAGAUUGGAUGUCAGAGUGAUUGAUGUGCUCCUACUGGAAGAAGGCAAACAUCCAUAUGUGAACUGCCUGUGGGGUUUCCAAGGAAAGGAACGGCAGGCAGCCUCUAUGAGCUUAAAGAAGAUAACUGGGACUUUAGUCCUAUAACCUCAAGGAACAGUAUUCUGUGAACCAUCUGAGAAGCUUGGAAGAGGACCCCAAACUCCAAAUAAGAAGCUCAGUGUGUCUGACACCUUGACUGCAGGCUUGGGAGGUCCUGAGCAGAAGAUCCAGUUCAACAGUGCCUGGACUCCUGAUCCACAAAAACUGAUAACAAAUAUUUAUUGUUUUAAGAUGCUAAGUUUGUAGUCAUUUUUUAUACAGCAACAGAAAACUAAACACACACAUAAACAGUUAUAAGUGCUCACUGUAUAUGAGGCUUUUCAUUAAUAAUCUAUAUUUUAUAAUAGAAUUAGAAUAUAGAUCUGUGAAGCUGAAGACACUCAAUCCUUGCUAGAUUUAAAUCAGGAAAAUCAGCUGAGAAUCAUUCCUUGAUAGAACCUGGAAAACAAGACCCUAUGAGAGACCCUGGGAAUUACAUUAAAUUCACUGUGGUUCCCAGUGUCACUGAAGAGGUUUUCCUUUCAUAGUCAGGUAGUCACCAUACUGUUAAGCAUUUGAACACAUGGGCAACUUCCAGAAUAGUUAUGACAUUGAUAUACCAAUCUCCAAAAUUCCUAGAAUACCAUGUUUUCAUGGUUGACCUUCAAAUCAGUCAGUUCUUUGUAACAUUGAGCCAUAAAGAUAGGGCAAAUACUUAAUGUUUUACAUAUAUUCAGAGAUUGACCCUCAAAAUACAGCCCAGAGAAACUCAAAAGAAUUAACUCUAUUUCUUCAAAUUGUGUGACGCCACCAAGGCCAGAUGACUUCAGCAUUGGGAAGGCAAUAUCCAGCUGUCAUCUUCUUGAUCCUCAUAUGCUACUACUAGCAUCUAGCAUUUACUGAGCAGAUAGUUUUAUUGUCCAGUUUUUAAAGAUAAGAAAAUUGAGGUAUUAGGAAAGUUAAGUUGGUUGCCUAGGGAAACACGAAGAUAUAGCCCAGAUUCACUCCCAGGCAGGCAGAUGCCAGUGUCUGCUCUCUUUACCACCGAAAUAUCCUGCUACAUGUACAAUUUCAAUAAAUAUCUGGACUUACUGGAACAAAACAAAUCAACAACAUUCUUAUUUUCUUUCUUCAGUUUAGAUUAAAUAAUUUAAAUGUCUUCUUAAGAAGCUACAGUUUUUUGAGGCACAGAGGGAUAGGAGGGUAGGUCCUACCAGUUGAGUCACUCAGCCCUAUAGUUG